Molecule: ribosomal RNA, 433 nt
Filed under: uncultured bacterium
Lineage: Bacteria
Description: partial 16S ribosomal RNA
Rfam family: Bacterial small subunit ribosomal RNA
Source: RNAcentral
AACGAACGCUGGCGGCAUGCCUAACACAUGCAAGUCGAACGAGACCUUCGGGUCUAUUGGCGCACGGCUGCGUAACGCGUGGGAACCUGCCCUUAGGUUCGGCAUAACUCUCCGAAAGGGGUGCUAAUACCGGAUCAUGUCUUCGGACCAAAGAUUUAUCGCCCUUGGUUGGGCCCGCGUUGGAUUAGCUAGUUGGUAGGGUAAAAGCCUACCCAGGGGCCGAUCCAUAGCUGGUCAGAGUGGAUGAUCAGCCACACUGGGAGGGAGACACGGCCCAGACUCCUACGGGAGGGAGCAGAGGGGAAUAUUGGACACGGGGCGAAAGCCUGAUACAGCAAUGCCGCGUGAGUGAUGGAGGUCUUAGGGUUGUAAAGCUCUUUUAACCGGGAUGAUAAUGACAGUACCGGGAGAAUAAGCCCCGGCUAACUCCGUG